This 30-nucleotide small RNA is filed under the name Bombyx mori (domestic silkworm). RNAcentral's name for it is "ovarian small RNA-26256". Lineage: Eukaryota; Metazoa; Arthropoda; Insecta; Lepidoptera; Bombycidae. The record is from RNAcentral.
UCAUGGCUGACACUUCGGAGCCCUUGAGGC